This 467-nucleotide ribosomal RNA is filed under the name uncultured bacterium. RNAcentral's name for it is "partial 16S ribosomal RNA". It matches the Rfam family "Bacterial small subunit ribosomal RNA", at positions 28 to 507 of the family's 1533-position model. The record is from RNAcentral.
GACGAACGCUGGCGGCGUGCUUAACACAUGCAAGUCGAACGGAAAGGUCCUGCUUUUGUGGGGUGCUCGAGUGGCGAACGGGUGAGUAACACGUGAGUAACCUGCCCUUGACUUUGGGAUAACUUCAGGAAACUGGGGCUAAUACCGGAUAGGAGCUCCUGCUGCAUGGUGGGGGUUGGAAAGUUUCGGCGGUUGGGGAUGGACUCGCGGCUUAUCAGCUUGUUGGUGGGGUAGUGGCUUACCAAGGCUUUGACGGGUAGCCGGCCUGAGAGGGUGACCGGCCACAUGGGAACUGGGAAAGGGCCCAAACUCCUAGGGGGGGAAGAGGGGGGGAAUAUGGAAAAAGGGGGGGAAGCCUAAGGAGGCAACGCCGGGGGGGGGAGGAGGGCCUUGGGGUUGAAAACCGCUUUCGCCGGGAACGAGGGGGGGGGACGGGAAAUGGGGAAAAAGGCACCGGAUAACAGGUG